UUUCAGCCUAAAAAAAGUUGAAAUAGCAUCACUGGAUGCUCCUAAAAAAAUUAUGCCCAAAGACAGUUUGGGGGAUGGCCAAACUUACUUCUUUCAGCUUGUCAGAGAGAAUCUUGAUUUCUUCUUCAUAUUUAUCUUCUUUUUCCGAGUACUGUGAAAACAAUGAACACUCUCCAAGGGAAGUUGUAGCAACAAUAAUAAAAGUUUAUGAAACUGUGACCUAUUUAUAACCACUUUUCCUUUUACAACAGAUGUAAACACCAUUUCCGUGCUUUUCUCCUCUCCCCCAGACCUUCAGGCUUGUUUGGGCAGAACUGAUGGAGUGGUACCCCACAAGCAGGCAGAAAAUAAAAAAGGAACAUACCUCUCACUCUCAUCUGCUGCUUUCUCAGCCUCCUCCAGUUUCUGCAGGGCUGUGGCCAGUCGUUCCUGGGCACGAUCCAAUUCCUCUUCCACAAGCUGGAUGCGUCUGUUCAGAGCUGCCACCUCACCUUCAGCCUGUGUGAAACAACCGCCCAGAACCGGGGUUACACAGGCCACUUGCUGCUGGCAAAUGUUCCCAGCUAAUCAGUUUCCUUAAAACUGCAACAGCAUCUCCCUGGGACAUGCAGGGGAGCUCAGGGGCCCUUCUGCCUCUGAUUUUUUUGUUUGCUUAAACUGUGGCAUCUCAGGAAUGUCAAGGUAUGGAGUGUGUGCUUGUCCUUUCCUUUUUUAAUGGUACUUAUCAUUCCUGCCACACAAAAAAGGACUACAGGAUUGCGAAUGGAUCGGGGUAUUUUUGGAGCACUUCACAGGGCUGCAUCUAUCCAAAGUUAAAAAAUGAACUGUUUCCACGAUGGCUUAGUUCCAAAACCUUCACCAUUGAUUUCUCUGCCCUUGGUUUCAUCCAGUGACACCCUGUCACAGCUCACUGUGAAGUCUGAGCCAGUUCCUGAUCCAUCCUGGCUCCCGAGCCUGCAAACACUGUAGAAUCUACGUGGUCAGCUGGGCACAGACAGUGGCCUUGGCAUGGCAGAGUCAGGCCUUUUUUGGGACAAAAUUAGGUAUGUUCUUAAAAUAAGUUCACUUUGCUUCCUGCGGUACUUAAGGAAUUAGGCAGGAUGCAUUUAUUAAUAAUAAGAUCUGUGUGUGUAUUAUUGAAUAAACUGCACAGUAAUUGGAACACUAUUGACAUAUAAAAAACCAGACUAGCUAAUAAAUGGAAGAGACUGCUAGGAGAAAUGCUCCAUACAGACAACAUGGACAAAUUGGUGUCCAUAAAUAUGUGUUUAUUAUAUUUAUUAUAUUAUUUAAUUGCUUGUUUUUGAAGGAAAAUAAAGCCCCACUUAAUUAACUGCCA
This is a long non-coding RNA of Corvus hawaiiensis (hawaiian crow), 1339 nucleotides long. RefSeq lists it as uncharacterized. The record is from RefSeq and is a predicted model, not a curated record. The transcript has 2 exons. Lineage: Eukaryota; Metazoa; Chordata; Aves; Passeriformes; Corvidae.